AGAGUUUGAUCCUGGCUCAGGACGAACGCUGGCGGCGUGCCUAACACAUGCAAGUCGAACGGAGAAUUUCAAGAUGUUUACAUGGCGAAACUCUUAGUGGCGGACGGGUGAGUAACGCGUGGGUAACCUACCCAUAAAGCCGGGACAACCCUUGGAAACGAGGGCUAAUACCGGAUAAUCUUAAGUUUUGGCAUCAGAAUUUAAGGAAAGAUGGCCUCUGAAUAUGCUAUCGAUUAUGGAUGGACCCGCGUCUGAUUAGCUAGUUGGUGGGGUAAAGGCCUACCAAGGCGACGAUCAGUAGCCGGCCUGAGAGGGUGAACGGCCACACUGGGACUGAGACACGGCCCAGACUCCUACGGGAGGCAGCAGUGGGGAAUCUUCCGCAAUGGACGAAAGUCUGACGGAGCAACGCCGCGUGUAUGAUGAAGGUCUUCGGAUUGUAAAGUACU
RNAcentral lists this ribosomal RNA (449 nucleotides) under uncultured bacterium. RNAcentral's name for it is "bacterial SSU rRNA". It matches the Rfam family "Bacterial small subunit ribosomal RNA", at positions 8 to 434 of the family's 1533-position model. The record is from RNAcentral.